Molecule: RNA transcript, 4361 nt
Organism: Hevea brasiliensis (rubber tree)
Lineage: Eukaryota; Viridiplantae; Streptophyta; Magnoliopsida; Malpighiales; Euphorbiaceae
Gene name: formin-like protein 13
Exons: 18
Source: RefSeq, a predicted model, not a curated record
AUAAAAAACCCGCCACCGCACCAAGCUACGUCGGUUGGUAACACAGAAAACAAUAAAAAUGAAAUCACAGCAGCUGACACACAGCCAACGAACAAAUUCAACAGACCCAAUCAAUCGAUCGAUCGUUCUGUUGGCUUUCUUUACCCGAAAGCCAAGUUUAAACUCUUAACACAAACACAGAGAUACAACAAAAACCAAAAAAUCGUCACAAAACAGUUUCUGCUUGAAUAAUUUCGGAAGGUGCUGAUUGAAUUUGAAUCGGAGAUGGCAUUGUUUCGUAAAUUGUUCUACAGGAAGCCUCCUGAUGGUUUGCUCGAGAUCUGUGAGCGUGUUUAUGUCUUUGAUUACUGCUUUACCACCGAUGCUUGGCAAGAAGAAAAUUAUAAAAGCUAUAUGGGUGGAAUAGUUGGUCAACUUAAAGAACACUUCCCUGAUUCUUCAUUCUUGGUGUUCAAUUUCCGUGAGGGAAAGAGACAAAGCCAGUUUGCUGACAUCCUGUCUGAAUAUGAUAUGACCAUCAUGGAUUACCCUCGGCAAUAUGAAGGUUGCCCAUUGCUCAAAAUGGAGGUGAUCCACCAUUUUCUAAGAUCAGGUGAAAGUUGGCUCUCACUUGGGCAACAGAAUCUGCUUCUAAUGCAUUGUGAGCGGGGUGGCUGGCCAGUUUUGGCUUUUAUGCUGGCAGCACUAUUGAUUUAUAGGAAGCAGUACAGUGUAGAACAGAAGACUCUUGACAUGAUUUACAGACAGGCUCCUAGGGAGCUUUUGCACUUACUGUCACCACUGAAUCCUAUCCCUUCUCAAUUGAGGUAUCUACAAUAUGUUUCAAGGAGGAAUGUGGCUUCAGAAUGGCCUCCAUUGGACAGAUGUCUUACAUUGGAUUGUGUUAUUCUAAGAUUUAUUCCUAAUUUUGAUGGAGAGGGGGGUUGUCGUCCAGUUUUUCGAUUAUAUGGACAUGAUAUUUCAGAGGAAACUACCAAUAUUAUGUGCUCAACUCCUAGGAAAGGCAAAAGUGCCCGGGCUUAUAAGCAGACAGAAUGCGAACUAGUUAAAAUUGACAUCAAUUGCCAUAUCCAAGGUGAUGUUGUGCUUGAGUGUAUCAGUUUGGAUGAUGACAUGGAGCAUGAACAAAUGAUGUUUCGAGCUGUGUUUAACACUGCUUUUAUUAGGUCAAACAUCUUGAUACUUAACCGUGACGAAAUUGAUACUUUGUGGGAUGCUAAGGUUCAAUUUCCAAAGAACUUCAGAGCAGAGAUUCUUUUCUCAGAGGUGGAUGCUACUAAUUCAGUUGCUGCAGUAGAUUUCUCUGGGUUUGAGGAGAAAGAAGGUCUACCAAUGGAAGCAUUUGCUAAAGUUCGUGAGAUCUUUAGCUCUGUUGAUUGGUUAGAUUCCAAGGCAGAUGUUGCACGUAAUGUGCUUCAACAAAUUAGUGCAUCAAAUGUUGUCCAAGAAAACUUUGACACUGAUUUGGUAUAUGGUGUACAACUUAGCCCUCAAAGUCCUCGAAGCCCUUAUAGAUUGGAAACAAGUCCUAAAAAGCAUCAGGAGAGAAAGAAACGCAUGACCUUGAAUAGUGGAAUGGAGAGCUCCAUGUUCUCAACACAAAAGAUUGAGUUUCUACACUCACCAAAAUCCUCUCCACAUGCUCAUGCGAUUGAGGAGGAUAAGCACAAAGACAUUCAAGUUGGCCUUCAACUUGCCAGUCAAUCUGAUCUUACGUGUCAACAACCAUCUCAGUUACCGUUAGAUUCUCACGCUAAAACUACAUCACAUGUUGAUGCCUCAUUUGAAAGAGCUGAUAUCACUCAUAAGAAAAUAUCUAAGGAUGCCUCAAAUCAAACCUUGUCACUUCCAGAUGGAAUUGAACCUGUGAAACCUUCAAGUGUUUUUGUUUCACCGUCAAUACCUCCAUUGCGAACUAUCACGAAUUCCAAUGCCUCAAAAACUCUUCCAACUUCAUCAACACCUCCUCAUCGUAUUUCUGCUUCAAAAUCAAUAGAUCCCUCAUUUACCAAGAGGACUGAAACUUUUUUAAGGGGCAAAGAUCAGUUGUCAUCAAGCACUCCCCAACUUGGUUGUGAUACUCUUGUAACUUCACCACUGCCUCCCACUCCUCCUUUAGGAAUACCAACACCUCCUUCAGUGCCACCUUCGAGAGAUAAGCCCGCCAUUAAAGCGGGAGCCUCAACACCACCACCUCCUCCUCCAACACCACCACCUCCUCCAACUCCACCUUUGAAGGAGAAUGGUGCUAUUAGAGCUGGACCUCCUCCACCCCCACCCCUUCCUCUUCAUUCAAGGCAAGCAACCAAUCUGACUAUUUCAACUCUAAUACCGCCGCAGCCGCCACCACCACCACCACCACCUUCAUCCACUUUUUCAUCCAAUUCUUCUCAUGCUGUUUCUACACCCCCUCCUCCCCUUCCUUUUGGUAAAGGUAUUUUAAAGAUGGGUAGUAAUGAAUCUCCAUCUCCUGCACCACCAACUCCUGCUCCACCAUUCAGUUCUCCUUCCAGCACCAAGGGACGCUUAUCUCGUACUAUAAGUUCAAAGAGCUAUCAAACCAAAAAGCUAAAGCCAUUGCAUUGGUUGAAGUUAACAAGAGCUGUUCAAGGAAGCUUAUGGGCAGAGGCACAAAAAUCUGGUGAAGCCUCCAAGGCUCCAGAGAUUGACAUGUCAGAGCUUGAGAGUCUCUUUUCAGCAUCAACACCAAAUUUAGAUCAUGGGAGGAAGUCAAGUAUGCGUAGCUCACGGGGACCUAAAGUUGAUAAAGUGCAAUUGAUUGAUCAUAGACGAGCAUAUAAUUGUGAAAUCAUGCUUUCAAAGGUGAAAGUGCCACUAAAUGAAUUAAUGAGUUCAGUGCUUGCUCUUGAGGAUUCAACUUUAAGUGCAGAUCAGGUUGAGAACCUCAUAAAGUUUUGUCCAACAAAAGAGGAGAUGGAACUACUGAAGGGCUACACCGGAGAAAAGGAAAAGUUAGGAAAAUGUGAACAGUUUUUCUUAGAGUUAAUGCAAGUACCAAGAGUAGAAUCUAAGCUCAGAGUCUUCUCAUUUAAGAUGCAGUUUCAUUCCCAGGUUUCUGACCUUAGAAAAAUCCUGAAUGUGGUGAAUUCUACUGCAGAAGAGAUCAGGAAUUCGGUGAAAUUGAAAAGAAUCAUGCAGACUAUUCUUUCAUUAGGAAAUGCUUUAAACCAGGGAACUGCUAGGGGCUCCGCUAUUGGAUUUAGGUUGGAUAGUCUUCUCAAACUAACUGAGACACGAGCAAGGAAUAACAAGAUGACUCUCCUGCAUUAUCUUUGUAAGGUGCUUGUUGACAAAUUACCGGAACUUCUAGAUUUUUCAAAAGAUCUUGCCAGUUUGGAACCUGCAUCAAAGGUACAACUUAAAUUUUUGGCAGAGGAAAUGCAAGCUGUAAGCAAAGGAUUAGAAAAGGUUGUACAGGAACUUUCAACCUCUGAAAGUGAUGGUCCUAUAUCAGAGAAUUUUCGUAAGAUUUUAAAGGAGUUCCUUCGUUUUGCUGAGGCUGAAGUGAGGUCUUUGGCUUCUUUGUACUCUGGAGUGGGUAGAAAUGUGGAUGCAUUGAUUCUUUAUUUUGGAGAAGAUCCAGCACGUUGUACCUUUGAACAAGUUGUUUCAACCAUGCUUAAUUUUGUGAGAUUGUUCAACAAAGCCCACGAGGAAAACUGCAAGCAGCUUGAGAUAGAAAUGAAGAGGUCAGCAGAAAAUGAGAAGUCAAAACUAGGCGUUUUACAGGAGUCUGAAAGUUUGUCCCGUGCAACAGUUAAGAGUGGCAGUGUCAAGUAAUUUACCAUUUGAAGAUUGAAUGGACAUUUUUCUCCUCUAGGAAGAAAUGCAGCAUGACACAGGCAUCUGAAUGGGGUUGGUGGGCAGAUAAGGAUCUUGUUGAUGUUGGUAGUUGAACCUGUAUUUGGUUUAUAGAUUAAGCCUGAAAUGUAAAUAUGGAGUUACCUCAUGGUUGCAUUUGGUUCUUCUAAAAGGGAGGCUCUGUGGAAAGCGAUCACGCAGCAAGUGGCUGCAAAGCACUAUUUGGAGGAAGUGGCAAAAGCAAGGAAAACAUGGUUUUUGGGGGUUAGCAUUUCAGGGAUAUCAUUUGAGCUGUUGAACUUUUGAUAAUUUUUCUUUUCUUUCAUCUUGAAAUGCCUUCAAAAAGUUUUUAUUUAUGGUUAUGAUAGGUGAAGGUCAUGCUGCAAUUCUACUUUUCCCCCUCUCUUGGGUGUACUGUGUAGUUUUGCAGAAAUAAAGCCUUAAUCUAAAGUUAUAUUAAAAGUUCCCAAUUUGGUGGUGCAGCCAGCUCCUGAAUUGGUUUCUUUCUGAGUUCCUUGCACUUGGCUUUCACUUCUAAA